CGGACGGGUGAGUAACGCGUGGGUAACCUGCCUCACACUGGGGGACAACAGUUAGAAAUGACUGCUAAUAUCGCAUAAGCGCACAGGACCGCAUGGUCUAGUGUGAAAAACUCCGGUGGUGUGAGAUGGACCCGCGUUUGAUUAGCUAGUUGGUGGGGUAACGGCCUACCAAGGCGACGAUCAAUAGCCGACCUGAGAGGGUGACCGGCCACAUUGGGACUGAGACACGGCCCAA
This 235-nucleotide ribosomal RNA is filed under the name uncultured bacterium. RNAcentral describes it as "partial 16S ribosomal RNA". It matches the Rfam family "Bacterial small subunit ribosomal RNA", at positions 99 to 334 of the family's 1533-position model. The record is from RNAcentral.